Molecule: small nuclear RNA, 147 nt
Filed under: Carlito syrichta (Philippine tarsier)
Lineage: Eukaryota; Metazoa; Chordata; Mammalia; Primates; Tarsiidae
Description: U1 spliceosomal RNA (ENSTSYG00000022743.2)
Rfam family: U1 spliceosomal RNA
About the family: U1 is a small nuclear RNA (snRNA) component of the spliceosome (involved in pre-mRNA splicing). Its 5' end forms complementary base pairs with the 5' splice junction, thus defining the 5' donor site of an intron.
Source: Rfam by way of RNAcentral
AUCCUUACCUGGCAGGGGAGAUCACAAAGGUGGUUUCCCAGGGCAAGGCUUACCCACCGCACUCCAGACGUGCUGAGCCCUGUGACUUCCCUAAACCUGGGAAACUCAACUGCAUAACUUAUGGUAGUGGGGGACUGAAAUCACAUU